ACGGGUGAGUAACACGUGGGUAACCUACCUAUAAGAGUGGGAUAACUUCGGGAAACCGGAGCUAAUACCGGAUAACAUUUAGAACCGCAUGGUUCUAAAGUGAAAGAUGGUUUUGCUAUCACUUAUAGAUGGACCCGCGCCGUAUUAGCUAGUUGGUAAGGUAACGGCUUACCAAGGCGACGAUACGUAGCCGACCUGAGAGGGUGAUCGGCCACACUGGAACUGAGACACGGUCCAGACUCCUACGGGAGGCAGCAGUAGGGAAUCUUCCGCAAUGGGCGAAAGCCUGACGGAGCAACGCCGCGUGAGUGAUGAAGGGUUUCGGCUCGUAAAACUCUGUUAUUAGGGAAGAACAAAUGUGUAAGUAACUGUGCGCAUCUUGACGCUACCUAAUCACAAAGCCACGGCUAACUACGUGCCAGCAGCCGCGGUAAUACGUAUGUGUCAAGCGUUAUCCGGAAUUAUUGGGCGUAAAGCGCGCGUAAACGGUUUCUUAAGUCUGAUGUGAAAGCCCACGGCUCACCCGUGGAGGGUCAUUGUUGAACUGGGGGACUUUAGUG
RNAcentral lists this ribosomal RNA (560 nucleotides) under Staphylococcus saprophyticus. Its description in RNAcentral is "bacterial SSU rRNA". It matches the Rfam family "Bacterial small subunit ribosomal RNA", at positions 102 to 648 of the family's 1533-position model. Lineage: Bacteria; Bacillati; Bacillota; Bacilli; Caryophanales; Staphylococcaceae. The record is from RNAcentral.